GAUGAACGCUGGCGGCGUGCUUAACACAUGCAAGUCGAGCGAAGCAGUUAAGUUGAUUUCUUCGGAUUGAUUCUUAACUGACUGAGCGGCGGACGGGUGAGUAACGCGUGGGUGACCUGCCCCAUACCGGGGGAUAACAGCUGGAAACGGCUGCUAAUACCGCAUAAGCGCACAGAGCUGCAUGGCUCGGUGUGAAAAACUCCGGCGGUAUGGGAUGGGCCCGCGUCUGAUUAGGCAGUUGGCGGGGUAACGGCCCACCAAACCGACGAUCAGUAGCCGGCCUGAGAGGGCGACCGGCCACAUUGGGACUGAGACACGGCCCAAACUCCUACGGGAGGCAGCAGUGGGGAAUAUUGCACAAUGGGGGAAACCCUGAUGCAGCGACGCCGCGUGAGCGAAGAAGUAUUUCGGUAUGUAAAGCUCUAUCAGCAGGGAAGA
This 438-nucleotide ribosomal RNA is filed under the name uncultured bacterium. Its description in RNAcentral is "bacterial SSU rRNA". It matches the Rfam family "Bacterial small subunit ribosomal RNA", at positions 28 to 448 of the family's 1533-position model. The record is from RNAcentral.